This 497-nucleotide ribosomal RNA is filed under the name uncultured bacterium. RNAcentral's name for it is "partial 16S ribosomal RNA". It matches the Rfam family "Bacterial small subunit ribosomal RNA", at positions 28 to 507 of the family's 1533-position model. The record is from RNAcentral.
GAUGAACGCUGGCGGCGUGCCUAAUACAUGCAAGUCGAGCGAACAGACGAGGAGCUUGCUCCUCUGACGUUAGCGGCGGACGGGUGAGUAACACGUGGAUAACCUACCUAUAAGACUGGGAUAACUUCGGGAAACCGGAGCUAAUACCGGAUAAUAUAUUGAACCGCAUGGUUCAAUGGUGAAAGACGGUUUUGCUGUCACUUAUAGAUGGAUCCGCGCCGCAUUAGCUAGUUGGUAAGGUAACGGCUUACCAAGGCAACGAUGCGUAGCCGACCUGAGAGGGUGAUCGGCCACACUGGAACUGAGACACGGUCCAGACUCCCACGGGAGGCAGCAGUAGGGAAUCUUCCGCAAUGGGCGAAAGCCUGACGGAGCAACGCCGCGUGAGUGAUGAAGGUCUUCGGAUCGUAAAACUCUGUUAUUAGGGAAGAACAAAUGUGUAAGUAACUAUGCACGUCUUGACGGUACCUAAUCAGAAAGCCACGGCUAACUACGUG